RNAcentral lists this long non-coding RNA (366 nucleotides) under Junco hyemalis (dark-eyed junco). RNAcentral's name for it is "lncRNA (ENSJHYG00000004084.1)". Lineage: Eukaryota; Metazoa; Chordata; Aves; Passeriformes; Passerellidae. The record is from RNAcentral.
GGGUUAUUCUGUCUGAAUAAUCUGGUAUUAUUAUCUGUGUGGUCACAGCAGCACAGGAUUCUGGGGGGCUCACAGGUGUCCAGGCACUGCAAAGAAGUGUCACUAUAACCAGAUACACAAACAUCAAGGCCCAGCCUUCAAGACCCUGUGGAGGUCCCCUAGACCUCCUCCCUCUGCAAGAGAAGCCGGUGCCUGAAGCUCUGGACCUUCCUACUUGUCAUCCAAAGUGGGAUUUCCAGCCUUGUGAGGAGGGUGGGCAGCUCGUGUCCAGCACAGAGACCAUGUGGGCAGCUGCCAGUGAAAGUGAUCCCUGAAUUGCCUGCAGCUCCUGUCCUGCAGAACCAGCAGCCUCCAGGCUCUUCCCAC